UACGUAGGCAGCAAGCGUUGUUCGGAAUUACUGGGCGUAAAGAGCGUGUAGGCGGCCAGGUAGGUCUGCUGUGAAAACUCGAGGCUUAACCUCGAGAUGUCGGCGGAAACCAUCUGGCUAGAGUCCGGAAGAGGAGAAUGGAAUUCCCGGUGUAGCGGUGAAAUGCGCAGAUAUCGGGAAGAACACCCGUGGCGAAGGCGGUUCUCUGGGACGGUACUGACGCUGAGACGCGAAAGCGUGGGGAGCGAACAGG
This 253-nucleotide ribosomal RNA is filed under the name uncultured bacterium. RNAcentral describes it as "partial 16S ribosomal RNA". It matches the Rfam family "Bacterial small subunit ribosomal RNA", at positions 524 to 776 of the family's 1533-position model. The record is from RNAcentral.